UUUUGCCUAGUUUUAAAAAAAUAUCUGUUUGUCAGGCAGAAGAAGUAAUUAAAAGUUACGGUCAGAU
Molecule: transfer RNA, 67 nt
Filed under: Pedipes pedipes
Lineage: Eukaryota; Metazoa; Mollusca; Gastropoda; Ellobiida; Ellobiidae
Description: tRNA-Asp
Source: RNAcentral